RNAcentral lists this ribosomal RNA (406 nucleotides) under uncultured bacterium. Its description in RNAcentral is "partial 16S ribosomal RNA". It matches the Rfam family "Bacterial small subunit ribosomal RNA", at positions 30 to 526 of the family's 1533-position model. The record is from RNAcentral.
AUUGAACGCUGGCGGCAGGCCUAACACAUGCAAGUCGAACGAGCGGCGGACGGGUGUGUAAUGUCUGGGAAACUGCCUGCUGGAGGGGGAUAACUACUGGAAACGGUAGCUAAUACCGCAUACCAUCGGAUGUCCCCAGAUGGGAUUCGCUAGUAGGUGGGGUAACGGCUCACCUAGGCGACGAUCCCUAGCUGGUCUGAGAGGAUGAUCAGCCACAUGGGAACUGAGACACGGUCCAGACUCCUACGGGAGGCAGCAGUGGGGAAUAUUGCACAAUGGGCGCAAGCAUGAUGCAGCCAUGCCGCGUGUAUGAAGAAGGCCUUCGGGUUGUAAAGUACUUUCAGCGGGGAGGCGUUACCCGCAGAAGAAGCACCGGCUAACUCCGUGCCAGCAGCCGCGGUAAUUC